GUGCGUAUGGGCAUGUCGGAUCCCUGCUCGGGCAGCGACGGCAUUCAUCCGCGCCUUUUCAAUUUCCGGUUCAAGUGUGUUCUUACCUUGAUCGAAGUCGGUUUCCUGUGUUGCAUACCAAUCGUGGCGGUAUUUGAUCGGAAAAUGUAUGUUUGUCCCGCGUUCCCCUUUCCAAGGUGCGGCGUGGGAUGGAUAAGAAGCAUUGUUGUGUUCCACAUCCCGACAGUAAUGUGCUUGGGUUGUUGGCGCAUGGCGGCAUGCUCGUACUUUCGGAUGCGGAAAAUUGAGCGGGUACGAGGCAUUGUCCUUAUCUACCCCAAAGAAAGCGUUCCACGCUUCAGCGAACGACGG
RNAcentral lists this unclassified non-coding RNA (351 nucleotides) under Erythranthe cardinalis. RNAcentral describes it as "partial external transcribed spacer". Lineage: Eukaryota; Viridiplantae; Streptophyta; Magnoliopsida; Lamiales; Phrymaceae. The record is from RNAcentral.